Molecule: unclassified non-coding RNA, 334 nt
Filed under: soil metagenome
Description: partial contains 5.8S ribosomal RNA, internal transcribed spacer 2, and large subunit ribosomal RNA
Rfam family: 5.8S ribosomal RNA (bases 1-120)
Source: RNAcentral
GAUGAAGAACGUAGCGAAAUGCGAUAAGUAGUGUGAAUUGCAGAAUUCAGUGAAUCAUCGAAUCUUUGAACGCACAUUGCGCCCCUUGGUAUUCCAUGGGGCAUGCCUGUUCGAGCGUCAUUUGUACCUUCAAGCUUUGCUUGGUGUUGGGUGUUUGUCCAUUCUCUUGCAGAGGGACUCGCCUUAAAGUAAUUGGCAGCCAGUGUUUUGGUUUUGAAGCGCAGCACAAGUCGCGAUUCAACGCUAUACGCCAGCUUCCACAAGCCUUUUUCACUUUUGACCUCGGAUCAGGUAGGGAUACCCACUGAACUUAAGCAUAUCAAUAAGCGGAGGA